This 240-nucleotide long non-coding RNA is filed under the name Lathyrus oleraceus (garden pea). Its description in RNAcentral is "Pisum sativum (pea) long non-coding RNA (PSAT_LNC022308)". Lineage: Eukaryota; Viridiplantae; Streptophyta; Magnoliopsida; Fabales; Fabaceae. The record is from RNAcentral.
UUUUUUUGUUAAGUGUUGUCGAUCAAUCUUUUUCGUGUUGUGCUUUAUUCUUUAGUUUCAUUGAUUCUAAAAGAGUGAGCAUCCCUUGCCUCUUUUUCUAAUGCAAUGUUAUCCUUGCUUAUAAAAAGAAAUUAUAGUAAUUAAAAAAUAAAAUUUAUGUCUUACAAAAGGGAAUCCAAACAUGAACCUAGUAUGAAUAUUUGAGGGACAAAAGUGUCAAUUCAAGAUGGUAGGUGAGGG